UCCCGGCUAGCUCAAUUGGCUAGAGCGUUGGACUUUUAAUCCGAAGGUUGGGGGUUCGACCCCCCCGUCGGGAG
This is a non-coding RNA of Clonostachys solani, 74 nucleotides long. NCBI's taxonomy places the organism in Eukaryota, Fungi, Ascomycota, Sordariomycetes, Hypocreales, Bionectriaceae. The record is from the annotation of a GenBank genome assembly.